RNAcentral lists this ribosomal RNA (1083 nucleotides) under Massiliimicrobium timonense. RNAcentral's name for it is "Massilimicrobiota timonensis partial 23S ribosomal RNA". It matches the Rfam family "Bacterial large subunit ribosomal RNA", at positions 1843 to 2925 of the family's 2925-position model. Lineage: Bacteria; Bacillati; Bacillota; Erysipelotrichia; Erysipelotrichales; Erysipelotrichaceae. The record is from RNAcentral.
GUAUAGGGGGUGACGCCUGCCCGGUGCUGGAAGGUUAAGGGGAGUGGUCAGCGAAAGCGAAGCCAUGAACCGAAGCCCCAGUAAACGGCGGCCGUAACUAUAACGGUCCUAAGGUAGCGAAAUUCCUUGUCAGGUAAGUUCUGACCCGCACGAAAGGCGUAACGAUUUGGGCGCUGUCUCGGCUGUAGACUCGGUGAAGUCUUAGUACCUGUGAAGAUGCAGGUUACCCGCGACUAGACGGAAAGACCCCAUGGAGCUUUACUGUAGCCUGAUAUUGGACUCUGAUGCAUGAUGUACAGGAUAGGUAGGAGGCUGAGAUACGGAUACGCCAGUAUUCGAGGAGCCGACGUUGGGAUACUACCCUUGAUGCAUUGGAGUUCUAACCGGGCCUCAUGGAACUGAGGACGGGACAGUGUCAGGUGGGCAGUUUGACUGGGGCGGUCGCCUCCCAAAGAGUAACGGAGGCGCCCAAAGAUACCCUCAGCAUGGAUGGAAACCAUGCGCAGAGUGCAAAGGCAGAAGGGUGUUUGACUGCGAGACAGACGAGUCGAGCAGGGACGAAAGUCGGGCUUAGUGAUCCGGCGGCACCGCAUGGAAGGGCCGUCGCUCAACGGAUAAAAGCUACCCUGGGGAUAACAGGCUGAUCUCCCCCAAGAGUUCACAUCGACGGGGAGGUUUGGCACCUCGAUGUCGGCUCAUCGCAUCCUGGAGCUGAAGUCGGUUCCAAGGGUUGGGCUGUUCGCCCAUUAAAGCGGUACGCGAGCUGGGUUCAGAACGUCGUGAGACAGUUCGGUCCCUAUCUGUCGUGGGCGCAGGAAGUUUGAGGAGAGCUGCCCUCAGUACGAGAGGACCGGGGUGGACGGACCGAUGGUGCACCAGUUGUCACGCCAGUGGCACAGCUGGGUAGCCAAGUCCGGAAGGGAUAAACGCUGAAGGCAUCUAAGCGUGAAGCCCCCUCCAAGAUGAGACUUCCCAUUCUUCGGAAGGAAGGUCCCUCCAAGACGAGGAGGUAGAUAGGUCAUGGGUGCAAGCAUGGCGACAUGCUGAGCUGAAUGAUACUAAUAGACCGAGAGCUUAGCCAUA